GACCCCGUAGUCUAACUGGCAGGAUGCUAGGCUGUUAACCUUGUGGUGGAGGUUCGAGCCCUCCCGGGGUCG
RNAcentral lists this transfer RNA (72 nucleotides) under Nanobdellati archaeon. RNAcentral's name for it is "tRNA-Asn". It matches the Rfam family "tRNA". Rfam says of the family: Transfer RNA (tRNA) molecules are approximately 80 nucleotides in length. Their secondary structure includes four short double-helical elements and three loops (D, anti-codon, and T loops). Lineage: Archaea; Nanobdellati. The record is from RNAcentral.